GUUUUUUUUACUAGUUUACCUAAGAGAUGAUAAAGACUUUGAAACUGCUAUGGCCGUAAGGUUGGAAUAGAAAAACGUGAGAGAUUAAAGACAAAGGAUUAUGAAAUUUUCAUGACUAAAAGGCAGGGCAGGAGUAUGGUUCAAGAACAAACGAGAGGUGAACCGUGGCCACCAAAAUGCGAAACAGAGUAAGGACUAAAAACUGUCCACAGAACUCACCAACCAAAGUGACCCUAUAAAGAGCUAGCAGUACAGAAUCGAGCCGAAGGCACACCAGCUACAGCAGACCAAGGCAUGGACAGAGGAGUGGGGCGCAUGGACUAGGAGAAGCCUACUGAUUAGCCAAGAGGGCGAGAGAAGAAGGAUGAACAGAUUUAAAUCCAAGCCAGAGGGGAGCAAAGCUCACACAAGACAUCCUGCUGAGUUCAACCCACCCACUGCCUCGGACAUUUAACUCCGUCUUCUAAGACCUCCUUGCUGGCCAGCCCUGCUGCUGUGGCUAACACACAGGCUCCCUACUUCCACACCUCCUGGGAACGUCUUCUGGAAGAACGUACAUCCCAAUAACAUGGGAAU
This 576-nucleotide long non-coding RNA is filed under the name Suricata suricatta (meerkat). Its description in RNAcentral is "lncRNA (ENSSSUG00005007798.1)". Lineage: Eukaryota; Metazoa; Chordata; Mammalia; Carnivora; Herpestidae. The record is from RNAcentral.